CCUCCCCUUCCCGGGUAUUUCGAACGAAGCCGCAGUUCGGCGCGACUAAGCAGAGCCGGCCCGCCUCCCAGGUGUAAAAUGCAGAAUGACUUAUAGGUGGCAGAGCUGAACCUGUUACGUGCAGUGAUUUAUUUUAAUAGCGCCGUGUAAAGCAACAAGUUGUAAUAUGACAGCUCAACAACCUGUUGGAAAAUAAUACAUGGCUGUGCAGUUGUGAAUUCCUAAUGAUUUAUGUAGCCUGACAAAAUAGUUUCAGUCCUGGUCUCUCUCUUUCCUUCUGUCAUAAGCACAACCGUGCAGGGGUAGAAUGGGAACAGGUGACAAGGAGUGAAGGCGAGACCUGCUGAAAGUAAUUUGACAGAUACAUGCAAUUGUGAAGAAUCAUUAAAUAACUGUUAACCACACCUGCACAGAGCCUCUGGCAAUGCUGGCUUACACAGAAUCUCAAGAACUGCCAUGUGCCUGACAUCAUACCUUUGCAAGGAAGAAAAGUCCUGGGUGUUAGCCCAAGACUGUGAAAAUCUCUAGCAACUGUGAAGAUUAUGAAAGAGAAAGAGAGCACGACUCAUACACAAAGGGAUUCAAAGAUUUGCAGACUUCAGUAUUCAUAUCUGAGAAGUGUGAGCUCUGGCACCUGACACUGAUGGAUCAGGCAAUGGAGAUAUUUACUCGUCACUUAGAAAGAGUCCUUAUUCAUAGCUUGGUGUAUUUAUGCCAUAAGGGUUUGGAAGACAGUGCAUUUUUACCUUCUCCAUCUCCAUUGCCAAGAAACUCAACAAGGCCCAACACAGAUUAAAGACUUUUUAAAAGAGUUGCCAAAGUGUUGUGAGAAAA
This is a non-coding RNA of Sturnus vulgaris (Common starling), 834 nucleotides long. Lineage: Eukaryota; Metazoa; Chordata; Aves; Passeriformes; Sturnidae. The record is from RefSeq and is a predicted model, not a curated record.